GGGCAUAUAACUCAAUUGGUAGAGUGCUUCCCUUACAAGGAAGAGGCUGGAGGUUCGAGUCCUUCUAUGCCCACCA
Molecule: transfer RNA, 76 nt
Filed under: Aridibacter famidurans
Lineage: Bacteria; Pseudomonadati; Acidobacteriota; Blastocatellia; Blastocatellales; Blastocatellaceae
Also listed under: 3 other names
Description: tRNA-Val
Rfam family: tRNA
About the family: Transfer RNA (tRNA) molecules are approximately 80 nucleotides in length. Their secondary structure includes four short double-helical elements and three loops (D, anti-codon, and T loops). Further hydrogen bonds mediate the characteristic L-shaped molecular structure. tRNAs have two regions of fundamental functional importance: the anti-codon, which is responsible for specific mRNA codon recognition, and the 3' end, to which the tRNAs corresponding amino acid is attached (by aminoacyl-tRNA synthetases). tRNAs cope with the degeneracy of the genetic code in two manners: having more than one tRNA (with a specific anti-codon) for a particular amino acid; and 'wobble' base-pairing, i.e. permitting non-standard base-pairing at the 3rd anti-codon position.
Source: RNAcentral